RNAcentral lists this ribosomal RNA (498 nucleotides) under uncultured bacterium. RNAcentral describes it as "partial 16S ribosomal RNA". It matches the Rfam family "Bacterial small subunit ribosomal RNA", at positions 30 to 523 of the family's 1533-position model. The record is from RNAcentral.
AUUGAACGCUGGCGGCAUGCUUUACACAUGCAAGUCGAACGGUAACAGGCCGCAAGGUGCUGACGAGUGGCGAACGGGUGAGUAAUGCAUCGGAACGUGCCCAGUCGUGGGGGAUAACGCAGCGAAAGCUGCGCUAAUACCGCAUACGAUCUAUGGAUGAAAGCGGGGGACCGUAAGGCCUCGCGCGAUUGGAGCGGCCGAUGUCAGAUUAGGUAGUUGGUGGGGUAAAGGCUCACCAAGCCAACGAUCUGUAGCUGGUCUGAGAGGACGACCAGCCACACUGGGACUGAGACACGGCCCAGACUCCUACGGGAGGCAGAAGUGGGGAAUUUUGGACAAUGGGCGCAAGCCUGAUCCAGCAAUGCCGCGUGCAGGAAGAAGGCCUUCGGGUUGUAAACUGCUUUUGUACGGAACGAAACGGUCCUGGUUAAUACCCGGGGCUAAUGACGGUACCGUAAGAAUAAGCACCGGCUAACUACGUGCCAGCAGCCGCCGUAA